RNAcentral lists this long non-coding RNA (7441 nucleotides) under Zostera marina. RNAcentral's name for it is "long non-coding RNA (ZMAR_LNC001686)". Lineage: Eukaryota; Viridiplantae; Streptophyta; Magnoliopsida; Alismatales; Zosteraceae. The record is from RNAcentral.
UUUAGCUGCUGGACCUUUAGUUGUUUCUUCCUGGAUUUCCAGUUCCUCUUCAGACGAUGACUCUAUCAAGCUUGCAAUAGCUUCCUGAUUCUUCAAGGCUUGAUUGAAGCACUCUUCGAUAGCAUUGGAAUCGAAUUGAAGUGCUUCAUGACUCACCCCCUCAGAUAGAACCUUGUCCUCAAGGUUGAGGCUCGGACAAAGCUUCUGGAGUGAAGAUAUAUCCUCCCAUGUAGUAUCAUCAGGUAAGGAGUCUGACCAUUUGACUAAUAAUUGUGGAAUCUCCUUGUUCUUCCUGAAAAUGACCCUGUAUUCUAUAAAUGCAAUGGGAAAUAAAAGGUUUAUUUAAUAUAGAACAUUUAGGGAAUUUGGGAACUUCCUUCUCUGGGUCAUCUCCUUUGUAUAACUUGAGCUUGGAGAUGUGGAAAGUAGGGUGAAUCUUUCCUCCCUCAGGUAUUUGUAAUUUAUAAGCCACCGCAUUUAUCUUCUUGAUGAUUUUAAAUGGCCCAAAAUACCUCAUACCCAACUUUUGGUUGACUUUAAGAGAUACUGAUUUUUGUCUGUAUGGUUGUAGUCUGACAAAAACCCAAUCAUUCAAGUUCAAUUCAAUAUCCUCUCUUUUCUUAUCUGCCUUGUUCUUCAUUCUUGUCUGUGCAGCCAUUAAGUUCUUCUUCACACUUUCUAGCAAAGUUUCCCUUUCACACAGAUCCACUUCAACUGCGGAUACCGAAGCCUCCGAUGGAUUGAAAUGUGGGAUUAUAGGUGCUUCCCUUCCAUAGAGCACUUUAAAAGGAGACAUUCCUAUAGAUGAAUGAUAUGCAGAAUUGUACCAUAAUUCUGCCCAAGGCAGCAUUUUCAGCCAAUUUUUAGGGAUGUCAUGUACAGAUGCUUUGAGGUACAUUUCUAUAACCUUGUUUACAAUUUCAGUUUGACCAUCACUCUGUGGAUGGUAUGCAGAUGAGAAACACAGUGUUGUACCACUCAGUCUAUGAAUUUCCUUCCAGAAUUUAGAUGUAAAUAUCUUAUCUCUAUCUGAGACAAUAGUAGAAGGGAAUCCAUGCGGUUUUAUAAUAGUUUGAACAAACAACUCAGUCACCAUGGUUGCUGUGAAAUCAGUAGGUAGAGCCCCCAAAUGACAGAAUUUAGAAAAUCUGUCCACCACUACCAUAAUGACAGUUUUUCCUUUAACUUUGGGCAAAUGAGUGAUGAAAUCCAUAGAGAUAUCCUGCCAUACAUGAUGAGGAAUGGGUAGUGGCAUAAGAAGACCAUUAGGUUUGGUAUUGGUGGAUUUAGUUUGUUGACAUACCAUACAGUUUUCCACAAACUGCUGGACUGUUUUGCUCAUUUUUUUCCACCAAAAAAUAUUUUUAAUUCUUUUUAGUGUCCUCUCAACACCAGCAUGACCCCUUAAAUUGGAAGAGUGAAAUUCUUCUAAUAUUUUCUGAAUUGUUUCUGAAUCAGAAAAUAUAAAUGCCUUCCCUUUAUAAAAUAUAUGCCCCUCUUUUUCUGAAUAUUUUGUUUCUUUGGAGCUUUGGCAUCUCUUAAGAAGUUCUGGUGUUCUAGGAUCAAUUCCCAUUUCCCACUUAAUUUUUUUGAACAAUUCAUUAUGACCGUAGUGAUUGCCAUAAUAGAGCCAAAUUCAGGGUUUUCAUCAAUUUUCUUCACCCCUAUAUCAUUUUCUUUUUCACUGAGAGAUCUGGAAAGAGCAUCAGCAACUAUAUUAUCUCUGCCUGGUUUGUAUUCUAUAGAGAAUUGAAAACCUAACAAUUUAAAUAGAAAUUCUUGCUGUUCAGGUGUCUGAAUCACUUGUGUCAGUAGGUUUUUCAGUGUUCUAUGAUCAGUCCUGAUUAUAAAAUCAUUUCCCAAGAGGUAGUGCCUCCAUUUGGCAACUGCUUGUGUGAUAGCGAACAUUUCCUUUGCAUAAAUUGAUCCAGCUGCCCUUCUUCCUGUUAACUUGCAACUAUAGAAAGCAAUGGGAUGAUCUUCCUGUUGUAAAACUGUCCCAAUACCAAUUAAACAUGCGUCGGUUUCUACUAUAAAAACUUUUGCAAAGUCAGGAAAUCUUAAGACUGGUGUAGUAGUCAUGGCCUUCUUGAGUUUAUUAAAGCUAUCGGUUGCAAUGUCAGUCCAAUUAAAGGAAUCCUUUUUUAAUAAUUCAGUCAUAGGGAAAGCCAUUUGAGCGUAAUUUUUUACAAAUCUCCUAUAAUAACCGAUCAGUCCCAAAAAUCCCCUUAGUUGUUUUAUAGUGGGGAAUGGGCCAUUCAGUCAUUGCAUAGAUUUUCUGUGGAUCAGGUUUCAUACCAUUUCCAGAGAUUAUGUGGCACAAAAAGUUCAUAUUACUCUUUCCGAAGGAACAUUUAGACAUCUUAGCUAGGAGUUGGUUGGAUUUAAGAAUUUCAAAGACACAUUUUAGGUGGCUAAUAUGGUCAGGAAGGGAUUUACUAUAGACCAAUAUAUCAUCAAAAAAAAUUAUGACAUAUUUUCUAAGGAUGGAAGAGAAAACAUCAUUCAUUAUGGAUUGAAAAGUAGACGGAGCAUUGGUAAGGCCAAAUGGCAUUACUAAAAAUUCAAAAUGGCCAUGAUGUGUUCGAAAGGCUGUUUUGUAAAUAUCUUUUGGACUUACUCUAAUUUGGUGGAAACCUGACCUAAGGUAUAAUUUGGAGAAAAUAGAGGCUCCAUUCAAUUCCCCUAAUAGUUCAUCCACUGUAGGGAUGGGGAAUUUAUCCUUAAUGGUCAAGGCAUUAAGGGCUCUAUAGUCGACGCAUAGUCUAUACCCCCCAUCUUUUUUUUUAAUAAGUAGUGCUGGUGAUGAGAAGGAACUAAUACUGGGUCGAAUGGUGCCCUGAUCCAGCAUUUCUUUCACCAGUUUUUCUAUUUCUCCUUUUUGAAAUUGGGGUUGUCUAUAGGGCCUUACACAAACUGGUUUAGAAUUUGGUUCUAAGCAUAUGUUGUGGUCACGUUUCCUUUGAGGGGGUAAUCCUUUAGGAUCCUCAAAUAUUUCACAAUAUGAAUCAAUAACAGAUUGAAUUUCGGAACAAUAUACCUCAGAGUUUGGUUGAUCAUCUUCCACAGUCCUCAUCAUACAAAUGAAUGCUUCAGAAGUAUUUGCAAGCAUAUUCUUUAUUUCACCAGAUGUAAGAGGAUCAUUAUUCAACCAAGACUUCCCUUUCCAGCAAAUAUCUUGUCCCUUCCAUUUAAACUCCAUAGUGAGUUCAUUGUAGUCUGUAAUAAUUUUUCCCACAGAUUUCAUCCAUUGUACACCCAAAACAAUAUUAGAACCAGCAAAAUCUAACAAAAAUAGAUCCACUUCUAGCUUCAAAUCAUCUAUCAUAAGUGCUGCCUUCUUGCAAACUUUAGUACAUGCCAACUUAUUGCCGCUAGCAGUGAUCACAUUAAAAGGUUUGAUAGGAGAAAUAAUUAGAUUAAGGGACUGUGCGAACCCUUUUUGGAUGAAGUUAUGUGUUGAUCCCGAGUCUACCAAUAUAGUAGUAGCUUUGUUGUUCAGUGUACCACUCAGCCUGAUAGUCCUAUCACUUAUUUGUCCUUUUAGUGCAUGAAGACUGAUUUCUGUGAUUUGCAGAGGUUCAUCUUCAUCUUCCUCAUCAUCAUCAAAAACUUCCCAUAAUUCUGACUCAUCUACAGACAACCUGAAUAGUCUUCCCUUACACUCAUGAUUAGGUUCAUACUUUUCAUCACAGUUAUAGCAUAACCCUUGUUCUCUUCUGGCCUUCCUUUCUUCAGUAUUAAGCCGUUUAAAAUUUGGAAGUUUUUUUGAUUUAUUCUCUUUUGUGGGCUCUUUGGAAUACUCUUUAGAAACUUUUCUGGGGGAUUUAUAUUUAUUACUUGUGUUCUGAAAAUAUUUCGGAGCAGAUCCUUUAUUAUAAACUACCUCUGAUUUUCCCUCAGCCAACUUUGCCAUUGUAAAAGCAUCCUGCAAGUCUGCUGGUUUAAAUUUCACUACUUCUUGCUGAAUUUCUGGAUUUAGACCUGAAAUAAACAUUUUCAGAAUAAACCAAUCAGGUAUUCCAGAGAUAUCCAGAGAUAUAAACAAUGCUUGAUACUCAGAUACAGAAGCUGUCUGAUGCAGUUUGCUCAAUCUUCCCCCUGGUAGACUGACCUCAGAAGAGGAGAAUCUUCUUAAUAUAUCUUCAGCAAAUGUCGGCCAAUUUAUAAGAAGAUUGCUAGCUUCCAUGUGAGAGAACCAUUCUUGAGCUUCACCUUCCAUAUGAAAAGAAAUAAUCAGAAGUUUCUGAUUUUCUGGAAUGUUGUAAUAUAAGAAGUAUCUUCUUGUUGUAUACAACCAGUUCUUUACAUUUUUACCAUCGAACUUAGGCAUAUCUAGCCUUGAGUAUUUACUACCCUCAUGUCCUUCUUCCACAAAACUUUUAGCAUAUGCAGGAUAAUCUAAGGAAUUUGAAAAAUUAUUCAUACCACCAUUUUCUCUUGUAAAUGUACUAUUGAAUUUACUCCUCUUAGGACUUGAUGAUAUUUCUUCGUUUCUCUGUUGAAGUAUAGAUGUAGUCUUUUGGAGUUCCUCUGCUAGAAGAUUUACAGAAUUCUUCAUGGAUUCUGCUAGGCAUCUUUGAUCUUCCUUGAUUUGUGCAAUUUCUUCUAUUUGUCUCAUUUGACUGCUUUGGAUGUUCUUCAAACACAGAUCCGACAUGAUUUUUCCUGCAAUUUAGAGCACAGAGCUAUUGAAAGCACCAAUGAAACAAAACUAAAAUAGUUGUGAUAACAAAAACAAGAAUAAAUCCCAAGACCUUGAGAUUUAAGGUUGUCUCCGAUCUCAGAUCGGAAUAACGAUCUAGAUACCGAGACUAAAUGCUUUAGAAAAUUUAGUGAGGUUUAUGACCUAACGGAAACGGAUGUCUCCGAUCAACAGAUCGGAGUACGAUCUUUGAUUCCAGAGACGAGAGCGUUCUUUGAUUUCAGAAGUUCCAGAAAAAAUUAUCACAGAAGUUCCGUCGAUAGCUGAUCGGUAAGACCAAGAAUCAUGGAUAAUAGAUCCUUCUGAUUUCAGUAGAGGAAAACGUUUGGAUUUUUAUUUCAUAAUAAAAAAGUUACAUGUGGUGCCCUUAUAUAGGGAUUUACAUGUGUGUGCUGAAUUUAAAAAAAGUAAAACAAUUAUAAAUAAAAAUUGCAAUUUACCACAUAAUACUAUUAUGAAACCUGGAUGGCAGACGGGUCUCUCUGAUAGGUCGUCUUUCCCUUACUUCUUCCUCACCGUCUUCCUCCUCACUGAGACCUUUAGCUGCUGGACCUUUAGUUGUUUCUUCCUGGAUUUCCAGUUCCUCUUCAGACGAUGACUCUAUCGAGCUUGCAAUAGCUUCCUGAUUCUUCAAGGCUUGAUUGAAGGACUCUUCGAUAGUAUUGGAAUCGAAUUGAAGUGCUUCGAACAAGUUUUAGUUAAUUGGAUGGGGCGACCAGAUCACAAGAAAUCGUGGGAGGAUUUGGAAUGGAUCAUACACUUGAAUCCCGAUUCCAACCUUUAGGCCAAGGUUCGUUCUGCAGGAGAAGGGGAUGUAACAAUCGGAAUUUAUCCGAUUGCGGCCAGAGCACAGCUGGAACUAGAUCUACGGGAGAAGUUUCCACCGGAGGAAGAAGGGAACCAAUUGGUUAAGGAAUCCGACCGGUCAACCUGGACAACGCACGACCCAGCCGCGCCCGACGUUCUACUCGGAAGACGGAUUUCUGUUACGAUUAAUGUUAUAGUGCCACUGUCGGCAAUUAGUAGUAAGAGGGUUGUUUUACUUUUUUUCCAGGAAGAUUGAUUAUAAAUAAUGGAAACAAAUGCCAGUAGAGAAUCGAAAAUUACAACCAACAACUUCUUAAUCCACCUCUGGUUCUUCCGUGAACAAAUUUUUUCCCUCCUCCGGCCCGACUCAGGAUUUCCUCUUUUCCCUCUAAACUUCCUGACGACUCCGCUGUCCUCCGACCGGCAGCUCUGUUACAGUGGUCAGUUGGAAAAGGUUGAGAAAAACUACAAGGAGACGAUAAUAGUAAGAAGAUUAUCGGUUGAAAAAAUUGGGAGCAACUAUGCAACCCAAUUCGCGAAGGUCCAAUGGGGCAUCCCCGGCGACCAAUUCACCAUUCACAUAAGAAACAAUGGGGUGUUUACACUUUAGUUAGAGGAUGGAAGGAAGGGAAGGACUUGGGAAAAGCUAGAAUAGAUACCCUUCCCAUUUGGGUCACUCUCCCGAACUUCCCAACACACCUAUGGGAUACUGAGAUUUUCUCAGCUAUCAUAAGUGUGCUUUGGAUGCCAAUCAGAGUGGAUGCACACACUGCAACUGCCCUCCAAAGAGAUGGGGCGAGAAUUCUAGUGAAUAUGAGAGCAUUCGGAGAUUUCCCAAAGAAGAUACCGAUUUUCGUUAAAGAAGGAGAGGGGUUAAUUAUAGAAGAAAAUAUACAGUGCUACUAUCACAAACCUCCUCUUAAAUGCUGGAAAUGAAAAAAAAUUGGGCAUUGGACAAACCAAUGCAUAGUAGCAUCAAACCUCGCAGGAGAAAAUGAUCAAAUGAAGAACUCCGGUGAAGAUAGAAUGGAGGUAGAGGAUGACAGAUCGUUACGUCAAGCCGGUUCACAAGAAAACCAAAUCAAAGAAGAAAAAAAUGAAAAUCAGUGGAAAAACAGUAAUAAAAUGAAACAUAGAAGUGAAUAUUUAGUUAAUAAUGAAGACUUUUUUGACCACCUAGAAAAGGAUUAUCCUAAUCUAGGGCUAAUAGGGGAUAGGCAAGAUAGGGGCAAACAAGAAAAGGACAGUGAAAAUAACUCAAAGGGUAAGGAUAAGACCAAUGAUGUGCUUACCACCAACAAAAACAAUGAUAAAUAUGGGGAUAAGGCUCAAAAUACGGUAUCCUCACCCACCACAUUUAGAAAUGAUAAGGAUAACAAUAAGAGAGGAGGAAAAAUUAAUACUAAGCCAUCCGGAUCCCAAGAAAAAAUAAACGGAUCAUAUGAGGAUUCAACAAAGGAUCCGAUUAAGACCAAGUCUAGAUCCGAAGGGGGAAACAAGGUAGGGGCUGAUCCAAAUAAGGUUAAAGAUCCAUUUAAGAUUCAUGGAUCAACUGAGACCCGACCAAAUUCAUCCAAGAACCAUGGAGAGCAUCCAAGGAUCCAAAAAGGACUACCCGGGAGUCACCAAGAACCACUUCCAAUGGAUCUUAGUGGAUCCCCGGGGGAUCUUAAUGAACCCUUUGAUAAUUUAAACGGACCUAAGGUAGAUCUGAUUAAUGAUAUGACAGGAUCCGGGGUGGGACAAAUCAGACCUGAUAACCUAACAAUCGGAGCCAAAGAGCUAGGUGGGGUCAAUGAAGAACUAGCGAGAACCUACUUAGAACCACCUGAGAAGCAAGAACUAUUAGCGAAUUACUUCAGGAGCCAACAAGAUGCACUUGCAAUGGCCCUUGAGAACCCCAACGGAGAAAUGGAUAGAUCAUAUUGA